GGCCUGAUAGUUCAGUGGUAGAAUUCUUGCUUUGGGUGUAAGAGGUCUCCGGUUCAAUCCCGGAUUAGGCCC
RNAcentral lists this transfer RNA (72 nucleotides) under Golovinomyces cichoracearum. It matches the Rfam family "tRNA". From Rfam's summary of the family: Transfer RNA (tRNA) molecules are approximately 80 nucleotides in length. RNAcentral also lists the same sequence under 7 other names. Lineage: Eukaryota; Fungi; Ascomycota; Leotiomycetes; Helotiales; Erysiphaceae. The record is from Rfam by way of RNAcentral.